Molecule: ribosomal RNA, 340 nt
Filed under: uncultured bacterium
Lineage: Bacteria
Description: bacterial SSU rRNA
Rfam family: Bacterial small subunit ribosomal RNA
Source: RNAcentral
GUGCGAGCGUUAUCCGGAUUUAUUGGGUUUAAAGGGUCCGUAGGCGGGCCUGUAAGUCAGUGGUGAAAUCUCAUAGCUUAACUAUGAAACUGCCAUUGAUACUGCAGGCCUUGAGUAAAUUUGAAGUGGCUGGAAUAAGUAGUGUAGCGGUGAAAUGCAUAGAUAUUACUUAGAACACCGAUUGCGAAGGCAGGUCACUAAGAUUUAACUGACGCUGAUGGACGAAAGCGUGGGGAGCGAACAGGAUUAGAUACCCUGGUAGUCCACGCCGUAAACGAUGCUAACUCGUUUUUGGAUCUUCGGGUUCAGAGACCAAGCGAAAGUGAUAAGUUAGCCACCU